AUGUAAGAAACAUAAAGAACGGUAAUACCGGUUAAAAGCAUUGACAGAUUUAACGAAGAACGCUUUGUCAUGGACAUGCAAGCCUCGAAUGUUUAUGCAUCCAUCCCCACAAUGCCAGAAUUAGGGAUGGUAUGGAUGGGGGACAUGAUGGUACACGGAGAACCUACGCACGAGCUAAUGUUGGACCCUCGUCCGAGCGAAAGUCCAUUUUUUUCUCAUGGUUCGCAUGCUUACGAGGAUCUUAGGAGUCAUCAAAUUGCUCCUACAACGAUGGUACGAUAUUUAGCACCUCAAUAUCCCAAUGAGUGUUCAGAACCGGAUGAAACUAUGGAAACUAUGGAUACGCAAGAGAUGCAACAAGAAUAUGACUCGCAAUCUGAAAGACAAGAAAUGAGUGAAUAUUUAACAUUAGAAGAUUAUAUGGCUGACGAUGAUAGAGAACAGGUAGUAAGUAAUGCGGCAACUCAAACUACUCAUGAUGGCUCGCCGUUGUUACGAAAUCGGAAAAUAAAGCCUAUAAAACAUCCUGGGCUUAUUUUAAAGACACCGAUUGCCUAUCAACCGCAUACCGAUUUAAACUUCAUUCCCAUUCGUAAAGAUGGCAUAGCUGUUUGUGAAAAAUGUGGUGCCAUUGGAGUUAAACAUGCAUUCUAUACAAAAGAGCGAAGAUUUUGUAGUAGAGCAUGCGCACGUUCUUCGGAGCAUACUGCUUCUACUGCAGAUUCAACGUAUAGCCCAUCGUAUCCCAUAGAACCAACAACAGCUAUGAAUGCCAAGUCUCCUACCGAUACAAAAUCUGCUAAAGAUGUAAUAAAAAAAGAAAUAGAGUUGAGCGAACCUAUCAAGGAAGACGAAGAAAAAGUUAUAGCAGAGCCUGUAAUGCCUGAAGAUUUACCAGUAAGAAGGAAGAGAACUGCAGAAAUGGCAGGCUCCUAUGAUUGGACCCCGCAUUUAGUUGAACCUGGAUUUUGUGCUGCACCAGUUUCUUGUUUUAAACACGCACCCAUAUCCGAAAUAUGGGACAACAUAACAGUGGGUAUGAAAGUCGAAGUUGAAAAUACUGAUUGCGACGAAGUAUGCGAAGCUUUUCCAGACUCUUUUUGGGUUGCUACUGUAUUACGCAUAUCUGGAUAUAGAGCUCUAUUGAGGUAUGAAGGAUUUGGUCAUAAUGCAGAGAAAGAUUUUUGGGUAUCGCUUUGUUCCAACGAUAUUCACCCUGUUGGUUGGUGUGCCACAAUUGGGAAACCGCUUAUACCACCAAACACUAUCGCUAAUAAGUACAAAGAUUGGAAGGACUUUUUAAGAAGAAGGUUAACCGGUGCAAGAACAUUAACAACUAAUUUCUAUAAUAAAGUUAAUGACAGUAUGAAAUCUCGCUUUAGAUGCGGACUUCAUUUAGAAGUAGUAGAUAAAAACAGAAUUUCUCAAGUUAAAGUAGCUACAAUACAAAAAAUUGUUGGUAAGCGAUUGCACGUAAGAUAUUAUGAUUCACCACCCGAAGAUAAUGGUUUCUGGUGUCACGAAGACUCUCCUCUUAUACAUCCUGUUGGUUGGGCAAAGAGAGUAGGACAAACGUUGGAUGCAUAUCCUGAAUAUUUAGAACGCAUUUCUAAAGCAAAAUUGUGCGAAGAUGAUGCUACGGAUGGUCUUUUUCAUGUGCCAAAGAAUCAUCAUCUCCACCUAGGAUAUACUUUUAGAGAAGGAAUGAAAAUAGAAGCUAUCGAUCCUCUUAAUCUUUCUGCUAUCUGUGCAGCCACAGUUAUGCAAGUUCUAAAAGAAGAUUAUAUUAUGAUUCGUAUUGAUAGUUAUGACGAAGAUGCUAGUGGUGCCGAUUGGUUUUGCUAUCAUUCAUGUUCUCCCUGUAUCUUUCCUAUUGGAUUUUGUUCUCAGCAUGGCCUACCGCUUACACCGCCGAAAGGUUAUGAUUCAACCACCUUUACGUGGGACGCAUACUUGAUAGAAACAAACACUGUACCAGCCCCUGUACAAUUAUUUAACAGGGAAAUACCCCAACAUGGAUUCAUCGAAGGUAUGAGACUGGAAGCUGCCGAUUUGAUGGAUCCUAGAUUAGUAUGCGUUGCUACUAUCACCAGAGUGAUCGGUCGAUUGUUGAGGGUACAUUUUGAUGGUUGGGAGGAUGAAUAUGAUCAGUGGUUAGAUUGUCAGAGUCCAGAUAUUUAUCCAGUUGGUUGGUGCGAUCUCGUAGAUCAUAAAUUAGAGGGGCCCCGUGUACUCGUUAAAAACACUAGUCCUACUGUAAAAUCACCAAGAGGCCUUAAACGUAAAUCUAAGAAAAAAGUAAAAAAAGGAAGCAAGGUAUUUUGCGCAAAAAAUAUUCUACCUCGUCAUAGUGAACGUAUUAGUAUGGCACGUGAACGUGAACGAGAAUUAGAACCGGCACAAGGAACAAAAAUUGAACGAGAACGCGAUCUUGAGAGUUUACCGGAACAAGGAAGUAGAGAGCCAGAACCGGCAGAAGAACCUGCCGGCCCUGAUCAAACUUUACCUAGUCCAACGAGUGGACAAGGUCAAGCAUUGAGCGAUAUGCAAAGUGAUGUGCAAAGCCCUCCACCACCCAAAGAAAGAAUCGCGACAUCGUACAUCAAUGUAACUUCAGGAAAUACAAAAUAUAUUCCAAGGUUAGCAGACGUUGUUCCAAAAGGUUCAGAUUGUGGUGAUUUGGUGCCAUCUGAAUGGAAUGUUUUUGACGUUGCUCAAUUUCUCCGUGUCAAUGAUUGUGCAACGUACUGUGACAACUUUAGCAAACGCAAAAUCGAUGGGAAUACUUUGCUAACUCUAACAAAGGACCAAAUAAUAGACCUAACGGGUUUCAAAGUUGGACCUUCCUUAAAAAUUUAUGAUCUUAUUCAGCAAUUAAAAAUCAAAGUAAAUCCAGCUCAGGAAAGAUUGAAACUAGGACUAAAAAAAUUAUUAUAACAUACCUAGUAUAUAGCUCUGAUAUUAUGAAUAAGUUUCAACUGAAAACUAGAUUAAACAUGGAUUUACAGGUAAGGCAUGUGGAUACGUUUGAAUCGUCACAUGUUGCAUCUAAGUUGCACUCCGUUUAAUAGCCUUCUGGCAGUAAUUUGUUUCGGCGAGUAACGACAUGUUUUCUUCUUUUCUUGUAUUUCUUUCUUUUUUCUUUUAUUACGUACUGUAAAACCUAAGAACAGAAUUUGAUUGAAUACAUAAUUGGACGCUAAUGUAAAUGGACGUUAAAAGAAGCUGUUCGAAAUCAAUAUUAUGUACAAAAUAAUUCAGAAUACUUGGAUACAUACAACAUUAAUAUGUAGAUAAGAUUUUAUAUAUGCAUUUUAAAUAUUUGUUUGUAUUUAUAAAUAUGUGAUUUAUUUUACCUAGGAAGUUUUCAUUCUAGCGAGUUAUUUUCCCUGUAUUGCCAUCAUUUGUAAAUCCAUGAGUCAGUUAAAUUCAUCGAAUGCAAAUGCACCAGCCAUUUAUCGGUAAAGUCAGAAAGAAAUGUUUUUCAACCGAAAUAGAGUUUAGAGAUGAAAUGUAAGAACUAUAGAAAAUUCUGUAUUACAGUUUACACGUAGACAAAUAUAAUCGAAUGGACUACUACCUUCAUUAAUUUGUGCCAGAUUACACAAUUUCCAUUAAUAUAUUUGUACAUAGCUAAAGGGAUGUAAGUUAUCCAUUUUUCUGCUUGUAAAUAUUAUUUUAAGAAUAAUACAAUAUCGAGACCAUUAGUGGCAAAUGGAAAAAAAAGAAGUGCAUGGCGUUAAUAGCACAUGACAAUUAUUACCAAUUGGCUGAUGCGUUUGUAUCAACGUACGUUAAGGUACGCAAUAUUAAUGCGGAACUUACUCGUCAAUACAGUGAAAAAAAAAAAUCAAAGAAAAUAGAUAAAAAUAUAAUAUAAGAAUAACUCAGCUUUUUGACUCACAUAAAAUACUAUUUUAGUACCACAGAGUAACGCAUGUUACUCUUAUUAUUUAUUCACUGUUUUUGAAAACAUUGUAGCAAUUAACUCGAACUUGUACCUUAUAUCUGGCAUUUUAACAAAUUUUGUUGAUUAACUCGGAGACAAAUUAUCCAUUAAUUGUAGAACCCUGUCACAAAGAAGUAACACACUAAGCUACAGUCUAAAUAGUUUCCGGGCAUCUAAAGUGCACUGGGUCUAGCGAAGUUUAUUAAAUAGAAAAUUUGGAUUUGUUAAGAAUUGACAAAAUUGAUCACACGAUGUUCAUACUAAAAUAUAAAAGAUAUAUUAAUUUUCUUUUAUAUUCAACAGAGAUUGUGAAAAUGUAUAAAAUGUAUCGUAGGAUAAAUGAGGAAAUGUUAUCAUCUUACAAUCCAAUUUCAAUCCAACUGCAAUUCAAUUUAAAUCCAAUUUUUGGAUAAUAAGGUAUAAAUGUUUUUUGAUUAAGUAUGAAAUUAAUAUUUAUAAUAUUUAUACUAUUUUCAUUGUUUAAUAAUGCGUUUACGAGUACAAAACUUUCUAAUAGCCAUAAAAUUUGGAUUACAGCUAUUUAAUUGUUAGUAAUAUAAAGAAAGUAAGUCGCGAGACUCAGAUUUUUUCCAAACUGACAGACUCGGACAGGUUUCAAAAGCUAUGUUUUUUGACAGUUGGCAAAGUUUCGCAAAAUAUUCAUUCAAGAAUAGCAUGACUCGUAAAACUUAUUACCCAAAUUUUUGAGUAUUAUUGAACGUAUACUAGAACAACUGCAUAGUAUUACUGCAAUCAUUAAAUAGAUGUUACUAACAAUAAGAGGAUACAAAAGAAACAGGUGUAAAAGGAUAUAUGGUGCAGGGAAAUAUAAGUCAUAGAUCAUAAAAGUAAAUUAUAUUAUAUACUACAAUACAUAGAUUAUAAAUGCAGCCUGUGAUAUUUGCUGCGUUAAAAAGUAGAAAUUUGGUCGAUUGCUCUUGUCACAAAGCAUAAUCUAUUCCCAUAUAUGCUGUCUGCAUAUAUUGCCUAUCGUCUGGUUCCGUUUUCAAAUUCGUCGAAGAAAAAGAAAAUAUGCAUUGUAAAUGAUCUAAUCAUAUUUUGAUGCUUCUUUAGAAAUUUGUUUUGCCUAACUUUAAACAUAGAUUAUUUGAAAGAAGUUCGAACCACGCAAACUGUAUUCACAAUUGUAACCCAUAAGAAGCCAUUUAUCAUCUAUUAAGUGUAAUAUAUAUUUCUUUUUACUUAUAGUCCAAACUAUGGGGAAUAAAUAUGAAUACAGUUGAUAUAUUUCGAUGAUAGUGUAUAAAAGUAUUUAUCGGUAUGAUAGAUUUGAAGUUAUGUCGGAUUGAUGCUUUUUUGUUUUGUUUUUUUUUUUUUUUCUUUUCUAUAAGCUUCUAUCUCUUAAUACUUAUAUUUCUUUUUUAUAAGAAUAAAUAAGAAUUGAUUAAGGAUUAAUGUUUUACACAUAUUGUAAAGAACAUGCAAAUAAUGACGGAAGUACAUUGUUUACAUAAGA
This 5426-nucleotide unclassified non-coding RNA is filed under the name Polistes fuscatus (common paper wasp). RNAcentral's name for it is "polycomb protein Sfmbt-like, transcript variant X1". The record is from RNAcentral. Lineage: Eukaryota; Metazoa; Arthropoda; Insecta; Hymenoptera; Vespidae.